GAUGAAGAACGUAGCGAAAUGCGAUACGUAGUGUGAAUUGCAGAAUUCAGUGAAUCAUCGAAUCUUUGAACGCACAUUGCGCCCCUUGGUAUUCCAUGGGGCAUGUCUGUUCGAGCGUCAUUUGUACCUUCAAGCUCUGCUUGGUGUUGGGUGUUUGUCUCGCCUCUGCGUGUAGACUCGCCUCAAAACAAUUGGCAGCCGGCGUAUUGAUUUCGGAGCGCAGUACAUCUCGCGCUUUGCACUCAUAACGACGACGUCCAAAAGUACAUUUUUACACUCUUGACCUCGGAUCAGGUAGGGAUACCCGCUGAACUUAAGCAUAUCAAUAAGCGGAGGA
Molecule: unclassified non-coding RNA, 337 nt
Filed under: soil metagenome
Description: partial contains 5.8S ribosomal RNA, internal transcribed spacer 2, and large subunit ribosomal RNA
Rfam family: 5.8S ribosomal RNA (bases 1-120)
Source: RNAcentral